RNAcentral lists this long non-coding RNA (261 nucleotides) under Mytilus galloprovincialis (Mediterranean mussel). The record is from RNAcentral. Lineage: Eukaryota; Metazoa; Mollusca; Bivalvia; Mytilida; Mytilidae.
UCUAAAUUAUAAUCCAUAGAAUUUUUUAAUAAUUUGCCAAAAUGUAGUUUAUAUUAUGCUUUUUAAAAAAUAAUAAUAAAAAGAAUGGGUCAAGGGGCUUAUUUUCACGCUACACGGUGUUUAAAAUUGACAGAUUUUGUAUAGAUUAUGCAUGGAAAACCCAAUUUUCUGCAAUAAAGCGUAUACUACACCAUAGCAUUUUGAGAUAACAUAUGAGAAGAUAGCUUUAAUAGUAUGCUUUAAGUUAAGAAAAAGAAAAAA